Molecule: transfer RNA, 72 nt
Filed under: Chlorobium sp.
Lineage: Bacteria; Pseudomonadati; Chlorobiota; Chlorobiia; Chlorobiales; Chlorobiaceae
Also listed under: 3 other names
Description: tRNA-Asn
Rfam family: tRNA
About the family: Transfer RNA (tRNA) molecules are approximately 80 nucleotides in length. Their secondary structure includes four short double-helical elements and three loops (D, anti-codon, and T loops).
Source: RNAcentral
UCCGCGAUAGCUCAAUGGUAGAGCACCUGGCUGUUAACCAGGUUGUUGUAGGUUCGAGUCCUACUCGCGGAG